GUUGGGUAGGGGAGCGUUCUGUAAGCCUGUGAAGGUGGCCUGUGAGGGUUGCUGGAGGUAUCAGAAGUGCGAAUGCUGACAUAAGUAACGAUAAAGCGGGUGAAAAGCCCGCUCGCCGGAAGACCAAGGGUUCCUGUCCAACGUUAAUCGGGGCAGGGUGAGUCGACCCCUAAGGCGAGGCCGAAAGGCGUAGUCGAUGGGAAACGGGUUAAUAUUCCCGUACUUGGUGUUACUGCGAAGGGGGGACGGAGAAGGCUAUGUUGGCCGGGCGACGGUUGUCCCGGUUUAAGCGUGUAGGUGUGUGUUCCAGGUAAAUCCGGUUCACUUUAACACUGAGGCGUGA
This 343-nucleotide ribosomal RNA is filed under the name Salmonella enterica subsp. enterica serovar Muenchen. RNAcentral describes it as "partial 23S ribosomal RNA". It matches the Rfam family "Bacterial large subunit ribosomal RNA", at positions 1223 to 1566 of the family's 2925-position model. Lineage: Bacteria; Pseudomonadati; Pseudomonadota; Gammaproteobacteria; Enterobacterales; Enterobacteriaceae. The record is from RNAcentral. RNAcentral also lists the same sequence under 3 other names.